RNAcentral lists this ribosomal RNA (460 nucleotides) under uncultured bacterium. RNAcentral describes it as "partial 16S ribosomal RNA". It matches the Rfam family "Bacterial small subunit ribosomal RNA", at positions 338 to 795 of the family's 1533-position model. The record is from RNAcentral.
CCUACGGGGAGCAGCAGUGAGGAAUAUUGGUCAAUGGACGCAAGUCUGAAACAGCCAUGCCGCGUGCAGGAAGACGGCUCUAUGAGUUGUAAACUGCUUUUGUACGAGGGUAAACGCAGAUACGCGUAUCUGUCUGAAAGUAUCGUACGAAUAAGGCUCGGCUAACUCCGUGCCAGCAGCCGCGGUAAGACGGAGGAUUCAAGCGUUAUCCGGAUUUAUUGGGUUUAAAGGGUGCGUAGGCGGUCGGAUAAGUUAGAGUUGAAAUCCCGAUGCUCAACUUCGGAAUUGCCUCUGAUACGGUUCGGAUAGAGAGUAGUUGUGGUAGGCGGAAUGUAUGGGGUAGCGGGGAAAUGCUUAGAGAUCAUACAGAACACCGAGUGCGAAGGCAGCUUACCAAGCUACUUCUGACGUUGAGGCACGAAAGCGUGGGGAGCAAACAGGAGUAGAUACCCGAGUAGUC